AUGGCUACCACCGGUGCUAGCAGCAGCAGCAAGUCGUCUGCAGCUUGUCGCGAGUGUCACCAAGUGAGCCAUGGAAAACCUGAUUGCCCGAGUCUGCCCUGUUACAACUGUGGGGGAGCUUUUCACACCAGAGGCAAAUGCGUUAGCACCAAACGUGUUCCUCACACUGGACCGAGAUGUCCAAGAUGCGGUGGUUUUCAACACUCAGAAUCUAACUGCCCCGUGACCGAAGCCGAUUCUCGCCCCCCUGUGUGCCCACGGUGUGCUACAGAACAUCGCCAGAGAGACUGCCCUCACCCUGACCGUCCAAUCAUAUAUUCGGGGUGGACAGGCUAUGGGAAAUGCACACUGUGUGGUGAUUCGAAUCACGUUUAUCGUGAUUGUCCCAGUAAGUACUGGUAG
This 402-nucleotide ribosomal RNA is filed under the name Triticum aestivum (bread wheat). RNAcentral describes it as "partial small subunit ribosomal RNA". The record is from RNAcentral. Lineage: Eukaryota; Viridiplantae; Streptophyta; Magnoliopsida; Poales; Poaceae.